This 72-nucleotide transfer RNA is filed under the name Ovis aries (sheep). It matches the Rfam family "tRNA". Rfam says of the family: Transfer RNA (tRNA) molecules are approximately 80 nucleotides in length. Lineage: Eukaryota; Metazoa; Chordata; Mammalia; Artiodactyla; Bovidae. The record is from Rfam by way of RNAcentral.
UCCUAGCUGGCUCAGUAGGUAAAGAAUCUGCCUGCAAUGCAGGAGUCUUAGAUUCGAUCCCUGGGUAGGGAA